GUUCCAAUGUGGUGUAGUGGUUUGAGUGUUAGACUAUGACUCUGGGGAUCAGAGUUCAAUUCUCUGCUUGACCA
Non-coding RNA from Phrynosoma platyrhinos (Desert horned lizard), 74 nucleotides. The record is from the annotation of a GenBank genome assembly. NCBI's taxonomy places the organism in Eukaryota, Metazoa, Chordata, Lepidosauria, Squamata, Phrynosomatidae.